RNAcentral lists this ribosomal RNA (397 nucleotides) under Navicula cf. glaciei. RNAcentral's name for it is "SSU rRNA". It matches the Rfam family "Eukaryotic small subunit ribosomal RNA", at positions 599 to 1001 of the family's 1831-position model. Lineage: Eukaryota; Bacillariophyta; Bacillariophyceae; Naviculales; Naviculaceae. The record is from RNAcentral.
GUAUAUUAAAGUUGUUGCAGUUAAAAAGCUCGUAGUUGGAUUUGUGGCUUACGGCGGGUUCCGGGCACUUGUGUCUGAGUGACUUGCCGUUGCCAUCCUUGGGUGGAACCUGUGUGGCAUUAGGUUGUCGUGCAGGGGAUGCCCAUCGUUUACUGUGAAAAAAUUAGAGUGUUCAAAGCAGGCUUAUGCCGUUGAAUAUAUUAGCAUGGAAUAAUGAGAUAGGACUUUUUCGCUAUUUUGUUGGUUUGCGCGAGAAGGUAAUGAUUAAUAGGGACAGUUGGGGGUAUUCGUAUUCCAUUGUCAGAGGUGAAAUUCUUGGAUUUCUGGAAGACGAACUACUGCGAAAGCAUUUACCAAGGAUGUUUUCAUUAAUCAAGAACGAAAGUUAGGGGAUCGA